Molecule: long non-coding RNA, 5850 nt
Organism: Taeniopygia guttata (zebra finch)
Lineage: Eukaryota; Metazoa; Chordata; Aves; Passeriformes; Estrildidae
Source: Ensembl
ACUGCUUUUGGGCUUUAUUUAAUUCUCCCCCAUCUACAAAUGGCAGAAUAUUACCAAAUUUCUUCUUAGCAAUACUGUGUUAAGCAUAACAUUUAUUAAUUUUUGCUACUUUCCAUAGACAAUGCUUUGGACUAAGUAAUAUAUAUUGUAGUUACCACACAUAUUACCACUUAAAAAUUCAUAUACAGCAAACAGAACAGACACUAAUCUCAAACGUGCCAGUAUAAAAUCUUUGCAAACAAUAUCUUGUGUUUUUCUGGUAUUUUUCAGCUUUUCAUUUCACAUCUGUUAUAGCAGAAAGUGGAAUCUGGCCCAAGGAAUACUUCUAAUAAAUCCUUUCCUUUAUUAGUAGAAACAAUGUUAUUCACCAUACAGCAUAUGUUCCUCUAAUUACGUUUUUGAGUAAAAGUAUUAAUGACAUUUUGGCCAUGUAUAUAGUUACCCUUCUCAGAGUAAGAUUGGGGAUUCUGACACAUUUUCAUUACAUAAUGGUCAGAAAUAAUUAAAAGUUUGGGAUUUCAAUAUCUUUUAUUUGCAGUAAAAUAGAAGCCAAAAUACAGCCCUUCCAAUGAUUUUGAGCAGUACUUAGCUACUCAAAAUCAUUUUUAUGAUCUUACAACAUUCUAACAUUAUGUAGACUUUUGAAGAAUCUAUUUUCCAAUGGUGCACCUUUAUCAGGAUAUGUUAGAAUGGAAUUUUAAAUGUUCACCUCUGUUUAUCCUUGUAAUUCUGAAAUAAACCCUUAAAGCAUGGAGAAGUAAAAUGGGAUGGCAAUUUGAAAAAGAAAGUAUCACUGGUUUUGAGGGAGAAGUAAAUUUUGUAAUCUGGUCAUAGUCAACAGUGUCUUUGCAAAUUCUUUCAUGACUAAAGCAAGGUAUUGAAAAAGGAAAUGUUCCUAAUUAUUUCUAUGUUUCUUCUGAAAAUUCCUAGCCAAUCAACAUGGCUUUCUAGAGUCAAUCAAGCAACUACCAAGAUAUUCUAUGAAAAUUGCACACAUGGAUCAUAAUAUAAACUUGGAUUAGUAUUAUUCUAGUAAUGAAAAUAAAUAGGCCAUACUAAAAACAAGUAAAAAGUAAAAAUUCCUUAUUUCCUUAAACCAUCUGAGACCUGUAUUGUCCUCCUUACCUGCUUUUGUAUUACACCCUCUGAACAACCAGAGAGAAUAAUGUCACCCAUACUUCCUUUUAGUGCUUUGUACUUAGCAUAUGUGGAAAGUACUGACUUUCAAGUCCUUAAAAAUGAAAUCUAUUUGUUUGUGGGUCAGGUAAACACAAAUGCUUCUGGAAUUAACACGUGAUAAAAGCUGCGUCAUGGAAGUUUUGCACUUGUCUUACAAAGGUUAGAAACACUCAUUGCCCUGUGUCUUUCAAGUAUGCUUCCAACUAACCCUGAAAAACACAGUAAAAGCCAAACCCUUUUUAAAUGCUUUCUGGAAAAAUAAAUUUGCUUAAACACAAGCAUUAACACUUCUAGGUGAAAAGAUAGUGACCCACAAAUAGGAUCACUGCUGAUUAAACCAGUGAGACCCACUUAUAAUCAGAAUUCUCAUCCACUAGGAAGAGGAGGAAUUAAGUUCAUACAGACUAGUAAAAAAAUAGCUUCUGACUUUUACCAGUGUGGGUGGGAUGUGAAUGUGAUCAAUAGCACAUUUUAUCACAAAUAACCUAAUUAUUUAAUUUCAUUAAACAAGCUCAAUUUUCUGCUACAGCCUAACCCUUGAAUUAUCUUCUCUUUAAAGCAGGAUGCCUUUCAAUUUUCUUUGAAAGCCAGACUUGUCCUGCUGCCAGGAUGAGUGAGGGAAGAGGCUCCUGGAGAAUAUCACAGGUUUUGUGUGACCAGGAGGUUAGAUCCAUGCUCUCUCUUUUUUAAGCAAGGAGAGGGAGAAUGAUGGAGGUGUGCUGACCUGCAGCAGCCAAAACAACCUCCAGUGUUUGAAGCUGCCUUUCUGAAGCUCUCCCACACUGCUGUGUUGCAGUUCAGUCCUUACAACAUCUCAGAAUGUAUGUUACAGUGGAGACACCAGGCUCUAUAAAUGAAGAUUUCAGGUGCAUUUCUUACGUUUCCUUACAAUCCAUGCUGGGUAGGGAGGAGAGAGCAGAAUUCAGCAAUCAUUAUCACCCAAGGACUUGACUUUAUUCUCCCAGUAUCAUUUAUAGCCACAGCUUCCUUCCUUCAGCAAUUUGGAAAACGUGUUCAAAGCCACAAAAGUAAACAAUACUGAUGGUAAGUUCGUUUUUGGGAGGCCAUACUGCAAAUUGCUGAAGAUGAGAACUGCACCAAUAAAAAUCCCUAGGUAUAUUAAAGAACAAAUUAAAUACUCAGGUCAUGCAUUCCAGUUUGGUAAAGUUCAAACAUAUGAAUUUUUAUAUCUCUGAACAUUAAGUCCAACACCUUGAGCUGUUAGAAAGUUAUUCUUGCAGACUAAGCCUGCCUUGAUCCUAGAAGUGCAAAGUGACAACCUGUCAGUAAAAUCAUCUUAAGUAUGGUGGAUUUUGAGAAAAUGAAAGAAAAGGUAAGAAUUUUCUUUUGUGCUCAGCAUAAAAGCUUUCAAGAAAAUGAAAAUACAUGACUUGAAAUAUUUUCUUGUUAAAGUAUUAUUGCACACCAGCCAAUAUUUCCUUGAAAAAAUAACCAUUGCUACCCAGAAUAGCAAAGUACAUCUUCAUUACUAUAAAAGAGGCACGUCUCCAGGCUGUCAUGAAAAAUGCUGUCCUGAUUUUAAAAUGAAAAUGGUCUUGUUAGUGGAAUAUCUGAAGAAAGUUAUAAAACAACCAUAUGAAUUAGAAAGUAUUAUUCUUCAGCUCACAACUCAUGCUGUAAAAUCAAAAUGGUAAUUUAAAAUAAAAAAAAAAAAAAAAGGUAUCUAUAGUCUUGAGAAGCUCAACUUCAUCCAAAAAACACAGUGAGGAUUCCUGUAUUUCCAAGCUUUUUAUUACUAAUGGGUAAGGCCAGAUUGGUAGACCUGUUUUUAGAAUCGGAAACAAACUUGACCUAAUUCUUUUAGAAGUUGAAAUAAAAUAAAGGUGUUGCCCUGAAAUAAAAUAAAGGUGUUACCCCAAGAUUAACUGAAGGUCAAUGCUUCUAAUGGCUCAAACAGCAGCUCUUUCAUCAAUCCUGAUUAUUCAUAUGGGGAGAGGAAAAAAAUUAAAACCCCCAUUAGAACCCCAACUUUCUUUUCUCCUGUUUUUAUGUUCUUACCCUAAAAUUCUGACUCAUCUAUUGACUUUAGGGAGAGUGGGAUCAAGCCUUGAAUGAAUAAAAACACUCAGUGGACAUGGAGGGAAUUAUGUGUGAAUCUGAAACUAAACUUCUGUAAGAUACUUCUGUUUUAGUGCAUCUGAAACAAUCAAAUGUUGCUGCUGAAAUCUCAGGAAUGCAACUACAGUAUUAACUGAAGUCCCAAUAAUAAUGACAUAGUUUCAACACAAUUCAUAAUUUUCAUCAUAAACACAGCAGCAAAUGAAUGAAACACAUCCAGUCCCGUGCCUGUUGCUGAUCUACGAGUUCAGGUAACACAAAUGAGCCCAGCUACCAGAGUUUCUUUCACAUACUGGAUAAAAUGGAAAUAGUCAAAUGUCCAGGGCCUCCUGACUGGUGCAGGUGAUGUUAUUCCCUGAAGUGAUGCUGCCAUCUUGUGAGGGAAAGGCUUAAAUCCACUUUUAUUUUCAUUCCUGAGAUGUAUCCACAGCGAAUGAAGAUCCGGAACACACAGGUCAGGAAUUGUCAGGGAUGGGAGCUGCACAUUUGCUCUCCCUCUCCAAAACCAGCUCUUUGGACACAGAGUGGAGAGGACAAGCAACACUGUCCAGGAAUUAAGAAUUCUUCAAAGCAAGCUCACCCUGGGUCGAGCAGAACAUUCAAAUUGCAGUGGGACAUUCAAAACUAAGGGAACUUGCAUUUCAGGUGGAAAUGAAAGCAAAGGAACCACAGGCAGUUCAUGCUAAAAGUUGGUGAACUCCUCUUCCUUUCUUCUAAAUUCCACUAUGAAGCUGGUACUUUGUGCUGCUAGAUUGGGAAACCCAAGCAAAUCUUAAAAAAUGCAUUUUGCAUAGCCAGAUAUUACACCCAUCCAGCAGUCCUUGACAUUAGGGAUUCAGGGAUAGGGUACAGCUAAAGGGAACAAAGUAAUUUCUUGAGUUUUUCACCAAAUAAAACACCAUUGUUCUUCUAAUUCUUAUACAAUAUCUUAAAUUUUUCUAAAUCUCUGUAUUCUAAUUCUCCAUAUUCUCAUCCUAAUGCACACACACCAGAUUUCAAUACAAGAACUAGGAGCACCUACAGUUGGAUUGAAUUUAAAAGCAUGGGCUAAAGAAACACUGACUGCUAUUAAAUCUAGAGUGAAAUUUUCCAACAACUUUUACAGCUGGAAGUGCCACUUCAAGUGUUGCAUGCACUCAGCAUGAAUCUAUUUUGAAAAAGAAAUAAAGUAGCUUCAAUAUGAUCAAAAUAUUCUGACUUCCUAUUUGUGAAUGGAGUAUUUUCAGGGAAAUAGAAAUAGAAAAUAGAAAAAAAUAGAAAUAGAAAAUCUUCUAUUUCCACAUUUAUAAUAGAUAAUGCAGAAAAUACAAUUUUAUGUUUCAUUUCUUGAAAGGAACUAGAAAAUGUAUGGUAUUGUAGAAACCAUACACCAUAGAGUCUAUGCACAUUCAGUUUUCACAUGGAAUUACAGAGAAAUGUCCUAAAAUUAAUUUUAUUAGCAUGCCUAAAGGUUUACUGUUGCUAGGAAAAAAAAAUCACCUGCUCUUCUUGGCUGCAAAAUCCUUAUCUUCCUGCAAACCCUCACAGAAACAGCUUCCUGUUAUUUGGGUUUAGAGUUGUAGCUAUAAACAGUGACCUCUCUGCUCUCCCAAUAUACAAAUUUGUUAUGUUACAAGAAGUUAUUUCAAUAAUCCCUCACAGGUGUUACUGAAAUGAAUCUGUUAUUUUGCAGUUGGAGCAGCUGGUGAGGAGACAGUGCCCACCACUGCUGUUAGAUUUUAUUCUUGCUCUGUCACAGUCUGUUACAGCUCUGGGUCCUCAUUUAUUCCUUUGGAAAAAGAGUAUAAACCACCAUGGUGCCCUGUCUUUGAACAGCACAGCUAUGCACACAAAAGUCAAAUCCUUGGUAUCUCUGAAAGAAAGGACUACAGCCUCAAUUAUCAGACGUUUUGGCACUUACCGGGUGCAAACGAUGUGUAAUGUAUUCAUUAGCUUGCAUCACCACCCCAGCAUGCAUGGUGUGAGCCAAGAACACCUUUUUUCUCUUGGCCUGCUCCUUCAGAAGCACUGGCAGAAGAGGGGAAGUUCUACCCUAGGCUUUCCAAAGAACAAACUGUAAACCAGACAAUCUGGCCCUAUAUAAUUAUAAAAUGUUUUUGUUGCUUGACUUCACAGCAAGAUCUGCUCUUUGUAAUUACUUGGAAGUGCACAGAGUCCAGAGAUAUAUUCUACUGCCUCCUCUGUAAAACACGUUGCCUUUUAUUCAUGACAACAAUGGCCCUGAAUUUUAUUUUUAAUUCAAUAUACUUAGUGAGUCUGGAGUCUCUAAACUCUAUAUUCAGCCUAAAAUAAACUGUGUUAAUCAGAGAUUAGAAUAUGUUUUAUUUUUCCUCCAUCUGCAAAACUGUUGUGGACUUGUGGGCAACAGCUUCUGAAUCCUUUGAUCCUCCACACAUCAAUGUUAAUUCCUGCAAAUAUGAAUGUUUCUGGCCUGAGAGAGGAGCAGGUAAGGUGAAAGGAUGAUGCAAUCCACAUUUACAAGCAAAACCUGCUCACUGUAUUUCCUGGUACUGGUUACCCAGCUGAAAAAUUGAACUUUUUAACUUGCUGGAGUCUGAGAACUCUUUGAAAAAUGCACUCAGGAGAUGUACC